UAACGCGUAUGCAACCUACCCUUAACUGAGGGAUAGCCCGGAGAAAUUCGGAUUAAUACCUCAUAGUAUCACCAGAAGGCAUCUGAAGGUGAUUAAAGAUUUAUUGGUUAAGGAUGGGCAUGCGUGACAUUAGCUAGUUGGUGAGGUAACGGCUCACCAAGGCCACGAUGUCUAGGGGUUCUGAGAGGAUGAUCCCCCACACUGGUACUGAGAUACGGACCAGACUCC
RNAcentral lists this ribosomal RNA (228 nucleotides) under uncultured bacterium. RNAcentral's name for it is "partial 16S ribosomal RNA". It matches the Rfam family "Bacterial small subunit ribosomal RNA", at positions 111 to 339 of the family's 1533-position model. The record is from RNAcentral.